GUGAGCUGUAGGUAGUAAGGAAAUACAGUUAUUUCUCUUCUGCCUUUGUUUCUCCUAUCACCAGGACUCCCUAAAAGGUGGCCUGUCUGAGGGCCUGGCAUCCUUUCUCACAUCUGUGAUCAUAAACAGACCUGGUGGGUCUCAGCUCUGCUCCUCGCCAGCUGCCUAACGACGCUGAGUGAGGCAUGUCUUCUCUGGGCCUUGGCAGGCUCAGCUGCACCACGAUCACAGACUGGGGGCGUGGAACGGGACGAUGGACCGGCAGGGGCACUGUGUGUCUCUUCCGCAGGCAGGGUGUCCUCCCAACGGAAGGAUGAUGAACACUCACACGUAACAGCAGAAGUAAGGAGUUAACCCUAAAGCCGGUGGGACCUGAUGCAGGGUGAUCGCUCUGGGUCUGGGCAUAGCAGGUGAGGCCAG
RNAcentral lists this long non-coding RNA (420 nucleotides) under Mustela putorius furo (domestic ferret). Its description in RNAcentral is "lncRNA (ENSMPUG00000031919.1)". The record is from RNAcentral. Lineage: Eukaryota; Metazoa; Chordata; Mammalia; Carnivora; Mustelidae.